Bombyx mandarina (wild silkworm) is the source of this 236-nucleotide long non-coding RNA. RefSeq lists it as uncharacterized. The record is from RefSeq and is a predicted model, not a curated record. NCBI's taxonomy places the organism in Eukaryota, Metazoa, Arthropoda, Insecta, Lepidoptera, Bombycidae.
AAUUGGAGUACAUCAAUUCCCGAAGGACAAGAUAAUUGGAAGACUGUGGUUAAAGGCCAUUUAACGCGAAAAAAGUACUCCCACAAAAAGUUCGAGGUUAUGUCGUAAACACUUUGUGGAAUCUGACUAUGAAAACAUUAGUAAAUACACAGGUGUCAAACAUUAACAUAAAUAUCUGAAGAAAGGUGCUGUACCAUCUAUAUUUUCAUGGAAUAUGAAACCAGUUUCUGAAGAAA